This 369-nucleotide ribosomal RNA is filed under the name uncultured bacterium. RNAcentral's name for it is "bacterial SSU rRNA". It matches the Rfam family "Bacterial small subunit ribosomal RNA", at positions 527 to 896 of the family's 1533-position model. The record is from RNAcentral.
GUAGGGUGCGAGCGUUAAUCGGAAUUACUGGGCGUAAAGCGUGCGCAGGCGGUGAGCUGUGUCCGAUGUGAAAGCCCCGGGCUUAACCUGGGAAUGGCAUUGGAAACUGGCUCGCUGGAGUGUGGCAGAGGGGGGUGGAAUUCCGCGUGUAGCAGCGAAAUGCGUAGAGAUGCGGAGGAACACCGAUGGCGAAGGCAGCCCCCUGGGCUAACACUGACGCUCAGGCACGAAAGCGUGGGGAGCAAACAGGAUUAGAUACCCUGGUAGUCCACGCCCUAAACCAUGUCAACUGGGUGUUCGGGAAGCGAUUCCUGAGUACCGUAGCUAACGCGUGAAGUUGACCGCCUGGGGAGUACGGCCGCAAGGUUA